RNAcentral lists this ribosomal RNA (803 nucleotides) under Streptomyces sp. Its description in RNAcentral is "bacterial SSU rRNA". It matches the Rfam family "Bacterial small subunit ribosomal RNA", at positions 67 to 883 of the family's 1533-position model. Lineage: Bacteria; Bacillati; Actinomycetota; Actinomycetes; Kitasatosporales; Streptomycetaceae. The record is from RNAcentral.
CGAUGAACCUCCUUCGGGAGGGGAUUAGUGGCGAACGGGUGAGUAACACGUGGGCAAUCUGCCCUGCACUCUGGGACAAGCCCUGGAAACGGGGUCUAAUACCGGAUACGAGUUUCACAGGCAUCUGUGAUUCUGGAAAGCUCCGGCGGUGCAGGAUGAGCCCGCGGCCUAUCAGCUUGUUGGUGAGGUAACGGCUCACCAAGGCGACGACGGGUAGCCGGCCUGAGAGGGCGACCGGCCACACUGGGACUGAGACACGGCCCAGACUCCUACGGGAGGCAGCAGUGGGGAAUAUUGCACAAUGGGCGCAAGCCUGAUGCAGCGACGCCGCGUGAGGGAUGACGGCCUUCGGGUUGUAAACCUCUUUCAGCAGGGAAGAAGCGAAAGUGACGGUACCUGCAGAAGAAGCGCCGGCUAACUACGUGCCAGCAGCCGCGGUAAUACGUAGGGCGCAAGCGUUGUCCGGAAUUAUUGGGCGUAAAGAGCUCGUAGGCGGCUUGUCGCGUCGGUUGUGAAAGCCCGGGGCUUAACCCCGGGUCUGCAGUCGAUACGGGCAGGCUAGAGUUCGGUAGGGGAGAUCGGAAUUCCUGGUGUAGCGGUGAAAUGCGCAGAUAUCAGGAGGAACACCGGUGGCGAAGGCGGAUCUCUGGGCCGAUACUGACGCUGAGGAGCGAAAGCGUGGGGAGCGAACAGGAUUAGAUACCCUGGUAGUCCACGCCGUAAACGGUGGGCACUAGGUGUGGGCAACAUUCCACGUUGUCCGUGCCGCAGCUAACGCAUUAAGUGCCCCGCCUGGGGAGUAC